Long non-coding RNA from Calypte anna (Anna's hummingbird), 522 nucleotides. RefSeq lists it as uncharacterized. Lineage: Eukaryota; Metazoa; Chordata; Aves; Apodiformes; Trochilidae. The transcript is spliced from 3 exons. The record is from RefSeq and is a predicted model, not a curated record.
ACUGGCAGACAGCUCCGGGCAGCCGUGCAUCCGCAGCAACGCUUUCUGAACCGAAGGCAUCACUUCCGCCUACGGGAAGCCGCGCCCCUUCCGGUGUCGUGGCGGCUCCCGAGCAGUUGCCUGUCAUCCGGUGACCUUGCCCGAGCUCUUGCUACAUCUGCUCCUGCCCCACUGCUAUGCUGGCAGUUUGGGAAUGAGGAUUGCCUACAUCAGACUAUCAAGUUAAAAGCAAAAGAAGAGAACAGCAGAGUAGCAGGCCUGCGUGGGAUAGAGGAGUGCUGCAGAUUCCCAGGCACUCACUGACCCUGAAGAAGAGCAAAGAGUUGUAAAUAACUUUGGGAAUUUGCCAUCUGGACAAUGUUAUGUCCUGGUACCCGUUGCCUGCGGUGGGAACGGGUAGAUAAGGUUUUAUGUUAAAAGAAAGAGCGUUUUGAGGUGUAAAUUGUAGAUCAAUCAAUAGAUAUUGGAAUACUAUAUAAGUCUUGCGAGCCACACAAUAAACAAUUCUGUUUGUGCACAGCA